CCUACGGGUGGCAGCAGUGAGGAAUAUUGGUCAAUGGCCGGAAGGCUGAACCAGCCAUGCCGCGUGAAGGUCAGUGCCCUAUGGGCGUUAAACUUCUUUUGUGCGGGGGCAAUAAUGGUCACGUGUGGCCAGACGAGAGUACCGUACGAAUAAGCAUCGGCUAACUCCGUGCCAGCGGCCGCGGUAAUACGGGGGAGGCAAGCGUUAUCCGGAGUUAUUGGGUUUAAAGGGUGCGUAGGCUGGGAGGUAAGUCAGCGGUGAAAUGCCCCCGCGCAACGGGGUGUAGAGCCGUUGAUACUGGCGUGCUGGAAUGCGGAUGCAGUGGGAGGAAUGUGUGGUGUAGCGGUGAAAUGCAUAGAUAUCACACAGAACACCGAUUGCGAAGGCAGCUCACGAACGCUCGAUUGACGCUGAGGCACGAAAGUGUGGGUAUCGAACAGGAUUAGAUACCCGGGUAGUC
RNAcentral lists this ribosomal RNA (460 nucleotides) under uncultured bacterium. Its description in RNAcentral is "partial 16S ribosomal RNA". It matches the Rfam family "Bacterial small subunit ribosomal RNA", at positions 338 to 795 of the family's 1533-position model. The record is from RNAcentral.